UAGCCUUGCGGCCGUACUCCCCAGGCGGGACACUUAAUGCGUUAGCUUCGGCACGGAAAGCGUCGAUAACUUCCCACACCUAGUGUCCAUCGUUUACAGCUAGGACUACCAGGGUAUCUAAUCCUGUUCGCUCCCCUAGCUUUCGCGCCUCAGUGUCAGUAGCAGCCCAGAAAGUCGCCUUCGCCACUGGUGUUCUUCCUGAUAUCUGCGCAUUUCACCGCUACACCAGGAAUUCCACUUUCCUCUACUGCACUCAAGUUUUCCAGUAUCACAUGCAGUCCUCAAGUUAAGCCUGAGGUUUUCACAUAUGACUUGAAAAGCCACCUACGCGCUCUUUACGCCCAAUAAUUCCGAACAACGCUUGCCUCCCCCGUCUUACCGCGGCUGCUGGCACGGAGUUAGCCGAGACUUCCUUAUUAAGUACCGUCAGUAUUCGGGCUAUUAACCCUACUACCUUCGUCCUCAAUUGACAGAAGUUUACAACCCUAAGGCCUUCAUCCUUCACACGGUGUCACUGCGUCAGGCUUUCGCCCAUUGCGCAAGAUUCCCUA
Molecule: ribosomal RNA, 551 nt
Filed under: uncultured bacterium
Lineage: Bacteria
Description: partial 16S ribosomal RNA
Source: RNAcentral